CAGCCGCCGCGGGAAUACGAAGGGGGCUAGCGUUGUUCGGAUUUACUGGGCGUAAAGCGCACGUAGGCGGAUCGAUCAGUCAGGGGUGAAAUCCCAGAGCUCAACUCUGGAACUGCCUUUGAUACUGUCGAUCUGGAGUAUGGAAGAGGUGAGUGGAAUUCCGAGUGUAGAGGUGAAAUUCGUAGAUAUUCGGAGGAACACCAGUGGCGAAGGCGGCUCACUGGUCCAUUACUGACGCUGAGGUGCGAAAGCGUGGGGAGCAAACAGGAUUAGAUACCCGUGUAGUCCCUGUCUCUUAUAA
Molecule: ribosomal RNA, 301 nt
Filed under: uncultured bacterium
Lineage: Bacteria
Description: partial 16S ribosomal RNA
Rfam family: Bacterial small subunit ribosomal RNA
Source: RNAcentral